GCAACAUUACCGUCUUUGACCUCGGAUCAGGUAGGGAUACCCGCUGAACUUAAGCAUAUCAAUAAGCG
Molecule: ribosomal RNA, 68 nt
Filed under: Paraconiothyrium sp. WA0000009409
Lineage: Eukaryota; Fungi; Ascomycota; Dothideomycetes; Pleosporales; Didymosphaeriaceae
Description: partial 28S ribosomal RNA
Source: RNAcentral